Molecule: RNA transcript, 1514 nt
Organism: Brassica napus (rape)
Lineage: Eukaryota; Viridiplantae; Streptophyta; Magnoliopsida; Brassicales; Brassicaceae
Gene name: auxin response factor 2-like
Exons: 8
Source: RefSeq, a predicted model, not a curated record
CAUCCCUAAUUGACUUCUUUAGACUCUAACCUCUAGAUGACGAUUCAUUCACUCUUCAGAUAUUCCUCCUUCGUUAUAUAUACGAUCCGACUUACACGAUAUUUUUAAGUGUUGAUUUUGUCCGCGGAGAGGCUUCUCCGUCACUAGAUGAAACAGAUCUGAGCUUUGAGGUUAUAGAAAAUAUGGCGAGUUCAGAGGUUUCUACGAAAGGAAAUCAUCGUGGAGGAAUAGAGAAAUAGAGAACUUCUCCGCCGCUUUCGCCGGCGGUGAGGCGGAGAUAACUCAGUCUAACCGCUCUGUGGGGGCUGAGCGUGUUGUCGACCCUGAAGCUGCUCUCUACAAAGAGCUCUGGCAUGCUUGUGCUGGUCCUCUCGUGACGGUCCCUCGACAAGAUGACCGUGUCUUCUACUUCCCUUAGGGACAUAUUGAGCAGGUGGAAGCAUCGAAAAACCAAGCUGGCGGAACAGUAGAUGCCUCUCUAUGAUCUUCCUUCGAAGAUCCUUUGUCGAGUCAUUAAUGUUGAUUUAAAGUGGUGCUUAUGCGCAGAUUACUCUUUUUCUGCAACCUAUUCAAGACGAGAAUGCAAUUGAGAAAGAGGCACCUCUUCCUCCGCCCCCCAGGUUCCAAGUGCAUUCCUUCUGCAAAACCUUGACUGCUUCGGACACAAGUACGCAUGGUGGAUUUUCUGUGCUUAGCCGACAUGCUGAUGAAUGUCUCCCGCCUCUGGAUAUGUCACGUCAGCCUCCUACUCAGGAGUUAGUAGCAAAAAAAUUGCAUGCAAAUGAGUGGCGUUUUAGACAUAUUUUCCGAGGUCAACAACGAAGGCAUUUGCUUCAGAGUGGGUGGAGCGUGUUUGUUAGUUCCAAGAGGCUGGUUGCAGGCGAUGCAUUUAUCUCUCUAAGUUUUGUUGGUUUUUGGUUCAUGGUAUUCUUGAUUUGUAUCUAUAUGUUUAGUUGAUCUGUAAUAUCUGGUUCUUCUGCAGGGGUGAGAAUGGGGAAUUACGUGUGGGUGUAAGGCGUGCAAUGCGACAACAGGGAAAUGCGAGAAGUUAAUGCCUACUCUUCUGAAUCCUGUAUUUUUUCUUGCUCUGAAACUCCAGUAUAUUCUCAGUUUAUUUGGUUCCCUAUAUAUACGUGGCAGGAAGGCACACAGGUUACAAAGAGAACAGUUUCCUCUUCUUUGUUUCUUUACCAGGAGCGUUGAGAUCAUAUAUGAUGCAAUAUUACAUAUGGUAGCUCAGAAACAUUUCCAUGAGCUGAUCGAGAUACAAUGGUACCUACAGAUGAUGUGUGAAAAGCAACUAAAGUUACAAGAUACCAGGAGCUCUUCCUCAAUGCCUUAAUCAAAGCAAUGCAAUGGCAUGUUUACCGCAUCAAAAUUUGGUUUCAGGACAAACCGUGAACCAAACUGAAUCUGCUUUUGUAUCAGUGAAACUAAGUCCAUUUAACCUUCUUUUCUUUUUCAAUUCGAGUACAAUUAAGAAAAUAUUUAUCUUGGAAAAAUGAUUACACAUA